UUUAUUUAGUGUUCUCACCCCUCCUUUCUCUCCCAGACUAGAAACCCAUGGUUAAUCACAAGCGUCUUCAGCAUCCCGUCCUGCUUCUGUCUGAUAAAACUUCACCCUUGGAUCAACCCACCUCUGUCUCUGCGCUUCUGAAAUCCUGGGACCCACUGCAGGAGACACCGUUCAUAGCUGGGGUGGCCACAGAACUUUCUGGGAAGAGCUUUGGAGUCAGACAAGACCGGCUUCCGCGGAGCUGCAGUCUCGGUGGUUGUGAAACGGGGGUAUUGAUGAUCAUUCGCCACCGUGAGGAAGCGUGGAGGGAGCUGCCACCCGGAGCCCGGGCACCCGUCCCGGCGCUGCCCUGUGCUUGGCCCUGGGGACACAGCAGUGGAGACAGCCCUGCCUGCCAGCAUGGAAGCGGCUUGAGCUAACAUUAGUACUAGCGGUCUGUUAUUAUAGCAGCUUUAUUGGUGUAUUUACAUUAAAGUACAAAAUCUUGGGGCGCCUGGGUGGCUCCGUCGGUUGAGCGUCCGCCUUCGGCUCAGGUCACGAUCUCUCAGUUCGUGAGUUCGAACCUUGUGUCGGGCUCUGUGCUGACAGCUCAGAGCCUAGAGCCUCUUUGGAUUCUGUGUCUCCCUCUCUCUCCGCCCCUCCCUGCUCGCUGUCUGUCUCUCUCUCUCAAAAAUCAAUACACAUUAAAAAAAAUUAAAGUACAGAAUCUUUGUGAGUGACCAGAUGAAUGUUCCCAUAUGUCCACACUGUGGCUCCGUGCGGAUCGAGUCAUAGCACCUUCCAGUCCCCCAGGAGCCUCCACCGAGGGCAGCUACUGUUUUGACCUUUAC
RNAcentral lists this long non-coding RNA (830 nucleotides) under Lynx canadensis (Canada lynx). Its description in RNAcentral is "lncRNA (ENSLCNG00005000743.1)". Lineage: Eukaryota; Metazoa; Chordata; Mammalia; Carnivora; Felidae. The record is from RNAcentral.